Molecule: ribosomal RNA, 254 nt
Filed under: uncultured bacterium
Lineage: Bacteria
Description: partial 16S ribosomal RNA
Rfam family: Bacterial small subunit ribosomal RNA
Source: RNAcentral
CACGUAGGGUGCAAGCGUUGUCCGGAAUCAUUGGGCGUAAAGAGCUCGUAGGCGGCUUAGUAAGUCGGGUGUGAAAACCCCAGGCUCAACCUGGGGACGCCACCCGAUACUGCUAUAGCUAGAGUCCAGUAGGGGAGUGUGGAAUUCCCAGUGUAGCGGUGAAAUGCGCAGAUAUUGGGAGGAGCACCAGCGGCGAAGGCGGCACUCUGGGCUGGUACUGACGCUGAGGAGCGAAAGCGUGGGUAGCGAACAGG